This 250-nucleotide ribosomal RNA is filed under the name uncultured Chroococcidiopsis sp. RNAcentral describes it as "partial 16S ribosomal RNA". It matches the Rfam family "Bacterial small subunit ribosomal RNA", at positions 796 to 1044 of the family's 1533-position model. Lineage: Bacteria; Bacillati; Cyanobacteriota; Cyanophyceae; Chroococcidiopsidales; Chroococcidiopsidaceae. The record is from RNAcentral.
CUAGCUGUAAACGAUGGAUACUAGGCGUUGAGAGUAUCGACCCUCUCAGUGUCGUAGCUAACGCGUUAAGUAUCCCGCCUGGGGAGUACGCGCGCAAGCGUGAAACUCAAAGGAAUUGACGGGGGCCCGCACAAGCGGUGGAGUAUGUGGUUUAAUUCGAUGCAACGCGAAGAACCUUACCAGGGCUUGGCAUGUCCGGAACCCUGCCCAAAGGCGGGGGUGCCUACGGGAACCGGAACACAGGUGGUGC